UGAGAUAUAAGAGUACAUCAUCACUAAACAAGUGACUCAUCUGUGGAGUGUUCUACUAUCAAGAGUAGCUCAUGAAAUAUAUGGACAUAAGUGUACCUCUCAGAUCUGAGAUCACCAUAGUGACUUGUAAGUAACUCACUAUGCUUUGGUGCCAGACUAUUGCAUUUCUAAUAUAGUGAUGAAAGACUACAGGUACAGUCAAAUACUUACAAAGUCUGUGUGUGGAUCC
RNAcentral lists this long non-coding RNA (229 nucleotides) under Elaeis guineensis (African oil palm). RNAcentral describes it as "long non-coding RNA (EGUI_LNC059172)". The record is from RNAcentral. Lineage: Eukaryota; Viridiplantae; Streptophyta; Magnoliopsida; Arecales; Arecaceae.